Molecule: ribosomal RNA, 220 nt
Filed under: uncultured bacterium
Lineage: Bacteria
Description: partial 16S ribosomal RNA
Rfam family: Bacterial small subunit ribosomal RNA
Source: RNAcentral
GCAAGUCGAGCGAACCCUUCGGGGUUAGCGGCGGACGGGUGAGUAACGCGUGGGAACAUACCCUUUGGUACGGAAUAGCCCCGGGAAACUGGGAGUAAUACCGUAUGUGCCCUUCGGGGGAAAGAUUUAUCGCCAAUGGAUUGGCCCGCGUUGGAUUAGGUAGUUGGUGGGGUAAUGGCCCACCAAGCCGACGAUCCAUAGCUGGUUUGAGAGGAUGAUC